GCUUUGUAUUGAUCGAAUGAAAAUAAUACCAAAACUGGCACCAGGCCCACAUAUUUUGGAUCUGUAUGGACUCGACCCAACAGAGAUAAGCCCCAAAAAAGCUCACUCAGUUUAGCGGGUUGGCGCCUUCGGAGAGAACUAGCUCUGUUUCCUCAGAUCCUCUUCUUCCACCUAACCAGAAGAGUUUCUCUCUUUCUCCCUCACACACAACACACACUCGAGGGACACAGAGCUUUCUCCGGUCAUCCACGGACGCAAAGCUGCGUUGAAGAAACCUUAAUUUGCCGACAAAUUGAAAUACCGUCCAGUUUCCAUAUAACAUUAUGGACUGAUGGAGAUCUCGGAAGAAGCUGUGAUUGUAAAUUCUAGUAGACUGAAAUCUGUUGUAUGGAAUGAUUUUGACAGAGUUAAGAAAGGGGAGACGUUUGCAGCUAUAUGUCGGCACUGUAAAAGAAUACUUAGUGGGUCAAGUACUAGUGGAACAUCUCAUUUGAGAAAUCAUUUGAUCAGGUGUCGUAGAAGAUCAAACCAUGAUAUAACUCAAUUAUUAACAAGGGGAAAGAGGAAGCAAAACACCCUUGCGCUUACCAGUUUCAGUUAUAAUCAAGCUCCAGUAAAGAAUGAGGUAGUUACUGUUGCGAGUACAAAUUUGGAACAAGGGCUAAAAGUUGGAAAUAUUAACACAGGCAGUGUCAAUUUUGAUUACAGGAGAAGUCAGCUAGAUCUGGCACGGAUGAUUAUAAUGCAUGGAUAUCCCCUGGGCAUGGUUGAUGAUAUUGGUUUCAAGACACUUGUUCGAAACCUUCAGCCCUUGUUUGAUCUAGUAACAGUUAGUGAAGUUGAGGCUGACUGUAUGGAGAUCUAUAAAAAAGAGAAACAAAGAGUGUAUGAAGAGUUGGAUAAAUUGCCUGGAAAAGUCAGCCUUACUGUUGAUAGAUGGGCUACUAAUGGAGGCACAGAAUAUUUAUGCUUGAUAGCUCAUUAUAUUGAUGAUUCUUGGGAACUAAAGAAGAAGAUUUUGAACUUUUUGGUUGUUGAUCCUACCCAGGCAGAAGACUCGCUUUCCGAAUUAGUCAUGACAAGUCUUAGGAAUUGGGAUAUCGAUAGGAAGUUGUUCUCAUUGACUAUUGACAAUCGUUCGACCUAUGACAGAAUUGUCCAUAGAAUCAGAGACCAACUGUGUCAGCACAGGUUCCUUAUGUGUGAAGGCCAAUUAUUUGAUGUGCGAUGUGCAGCAAGUACUGUUAAGUUAUUGGUCCAUGAUGUCCUGCAAACAUCAGGUGAGAUAAUCAAUAAAGUUCGUGAAACCAUAGGAUAUGUUAAAGGUUCUCAGGGAACACAAGAAAAGUUCAAUGAGAUAGUACAAUUAGUUGGUAUUAAUUGGCAGAAGGGCUUGUUCAUUGAUAAGCCAUUUCGAUGGAACUCAACAUAUAUGAUGCUUGAAGCUGCGUUGGAGUGCAAAGAAGCCUUCCCUCAACUGCAAGAACAUGAUCCUGGCUUCUCAAUGUGUCCAUCUGGUUUAGAUUGGGACAGAUUGAGGGCUAUUACCAGCAUCUUGAAGUUCUUUCAUGAAGUUUUUAAUGUCUUUGUGGGACGCAAGCAUAUUACUGCAAAUUCCUAUUUUGCUGAGAUUUGUGAUAUUCAUUUGCAGUUGAUUGAAUGGUGCCAGAAAUCAGAUGAUUUUAUUAGCUCUUUGGCAUUGAAAUUAAAAUCAAAAUUUGAUGAAUAUUGGAAGAAAUGCAGCUUGAUUAUGGCAAUUGCAGCCAUCUUAGAUCCACGGUUUAAGAUGAAACUGGUGGAAUAUUACUACCCACAAAUCUACGGCGAUAGCGCUCCAGAUUGCAUAGACAUUGUCUCCAAUUGUAUGAGAGCUCUUUACAGCGGUCAUGCUAUCUAUUCACCAUUAGCUGCUCAUGGUCAAAGCUCAGCUUCUGAAAGUAGUGGUAGUAUUGUUAAGGAUAGACUUACUGGGUUUGACAGAUUCCUCCAUGAAACUUCACUUAGCCAAAACACAAAAUCAGACUUAGACAAGUAUUUGGAAGAACCGUUCUUCCCCCGCAGUGUUGAUUUUAGUAUACUAAACUGGUGGAAAGUUCACGAACCAAGAUACCCUGUGCUUUCCAUGAUGGCCCGCAACAUAUUGGGGAUUCCAAUUUCAAAAGUUGCACAGGAAUCCCUGUUUGAUACUGGAGAUAGGGCCCUUGAUCAUUGUUGGAGCUCACUGAAAUCAGAUACUUUACAAGCUUUGAUGUGUUCUCAGGAUUGGAUGCGCAAUGAAUUAGAAGUAAUUGAUUCCAAAAGUUCCGGAACUCCUGUUUUUGCCUUGCGCUAUGAUACAAAUUAGCAAAUCCUGGCUUGUGUGGAGUUGCUGGGUGAAGAAAUGUUCUGAUCCCAUCCUGGUUCUGUUUCAGCACAGUUGAUGGCGUAAAAGUCUCCUCAGGGGAAAGCUGUGAGGAAUGCUUUGACAUCAUUAACAAGAGUAGCAAAGUUAGUGCAGUUGGUAUAAAUUGCGCACCGCCAAAUUCUGUUCUAAGCCUUAUAAAGAGAUUCAAAGAGCGUACUGCUAAGGUAAUAGUUGUCUAUCCCAACAGCGGUGAGACACGGGAUGGCACUGCUAAAACAUGGCAGGUGGGAUAAACCAUAACAACAGCGAUUGUGCAAUUCCAAGUAUAAUCUAAAACUAUUGAUUGGACUUGUGUUUUCAGCCAUCAAAAUGUGUUCAUGAUGAGUUUGAGCUGUUGGCGACGACAUGGAGAAAUGCUGGAGCUAAGCUCAUAGGUGGCUGCUGUCGGACUACGCCUUCUACAAUUCGUUCAAUUUCUAGAGUUCUCAAGGACAACUGACUUUUUGAACUAGGAGCUGAUAGUUUCUAUUUUUGUAAUAAAUAAAUUGUAAAAAAAAAUUAAGUUUGGUUGAAGGAAAAAUAGGAAGUUCAGGAAAACGGUUUAAUCCUUACCAUUUUACUGAUAACAGUUGGUAAAGGGAUCUGAUUGUAAGUUUUGGUUUAAUCAAUUUAAUUUAAGAAUUUUGAAAUGGAAAUUAUAAAUUAAUAACUUUUUA
This is an RNA transcript of Sesamum indicum (sesame), 3060 nucleotides long. It is a transcript of the gene named zinc finger BED domain-containing protein RICESLEEPER 1, with no coding region annotated. Lineage: Eukaryota; Viridiplantae; Streptophyta; Magnoliopsida; Lamiales; Pedaliaceae. The record is from RefSeq and is a predicted model, not a curated record.